GGAUAACCCGCCGAAAGGUGGGCUAAUACCGAAUGACAUCUUGAAAACUUAUGUUUUCAGGAUCAAAGGUGGCCUCUACAUGUAAGCUACUGUUUGGGGAUGAGCCCGCGUACCAUUAGCUUGUUGGUAGGGUAAUGGCCUACCAAGGCUACGAUGGUUAGCUGGUCUGAGAGGAUGAUCAGCCACACUGGAACUGACACACGGUCCAGACUCCUACGGGAGGCAGCAGUGAGGAAUUUUGCGCAAUGGGGGAAACCCUGACGCAGCAACGCCGCGUGAGUGAUGAAGGCUUUCGGGUCGUAAAGCUCUGUCAAGUGGGAAGAACUCGUAUGGUGUUAAUACCACCAUAUGUUGACGGUACCACUGAAGGAAGCACCGGCUAACUCCGUGCCAGCAGCCGCGGUAAUACGGGGGGUGCAAGCGUUAUUCGGAAUUACUGGGCGUAAAGAGCGCGUAGGCGGUCUUUUAAGUCAGGUGUGAAAGCCCGGGGCUCAACCCCGGAAGUGCAUUUGAAACUAAGAGACUUGAGUAUGGGAGAGGGAAGUGGAAUUCCUGGUGUAGCGGUGAAAUGCGUAGAUAUCAGGAGGAACAUCGGUGGCGAAGGCGACUUCCUGGACCAAUACUGACGCUGAGGCGCGAAGGCGUGGGAGCAAACAGGAUUAGAUACCCUGGUAGUCCACGCAGUAAACGGUGAACACUAGGUGUAGCGGGUAUUGACCCCUGCUGUGCCGCAGCAAACGCAUUAAGUGUUCCGCCUGGGGAGUACGGCCGCAAGGUUAAAACUCAAAGGAAUUGACGGGGGCCCGCACAAGCGGUGGAGCAUGUGGUUUAAUUCGACGCAACGCGAAGAACCUUACCUAGGUUUGACAUCCCGGGAAUUCUGUGGAAACACGGAAGUGCCCUUCGGGGAGCCCGGUGACAGGUGCUGCAUGGCUGUCGUCGGCUCGUGUCGUGAGAUGUUGGGUUAAGUCCCGCAACGAGCGCAACCCUUUUCUUUAGUUACCAUCAUUUAGUUGGGGACUCUAAAGAUACUGCCCCGGUUAACGGGGAGGAAGGUGGGGAUGACGUCAAGUCCUCAUGGCCUUUAUGCCUAGGGCUACACACGUGCUACAAUGGACUGUACAAAGGGUUGCCAGCCUGUGAGGGUGAGCCAAUCCCAUAAAGCAGUUCGUAGUUCGGAUUGGAGUCUGCAACUCGACUCCAUGAAGCUGGAAUCGCUAGUAAUCGUGGAUCAGAACGCCACGGUGAAUACGUUCCCGGGCCUUGUACACACCGCCCGUCACACCAUGAGAGUUGGUUGUACCAGAAGUCGUUGGGCAAACCCUUCGGGGAUGCAGGCGCCUAAGGUAUGGCUGAUGAUUGGGGUGAAGUCGGAACAAGGUA
RNAcentral lists this ribosomal RNA (1383 nucleotides) under metagenome. Its description in RNAcentral is "bacterial SSU rRNA". It matches the Rfam family "Bacterial small subunit ribosomal RNA", at positions 141 to 1498 of the family's 1533-position model. The record is from RNAcentral.